GAGUUGCCCAUAAAUUUGUGUUUCAACAAACCCUUCCUCUAGGGUUUGGCACCUUUCUUUUUUCAUAGAAAACGCUUUAGACUUGUCUAGCAUCUUAAUCUGAAGCAUUUGAACUUGAAUGGAAUCUUUAAUAGCCCCUGAAUUUCCAUGCUUAUCUGCCUGCAUAAAGAAGAUGAGUUUUAGAUGUGGCUUUCGCUUAGAAACUUAUAUUAACUCGAUGGUCAAUAGAAUCUGGUGGCCGCAUAACUAAGCUAUUGAAUG
Molecule: unclassified non-coding RNA, 261 nt
Filed under: Hevea brasiliensis (rubber tree)
Lineage: Eukaryota; Viridiplantae; Streptophyta; Magnoliopsida; Malpighiales; Euphorbiaceae
Source: RNAcentral